Eriocheir sinensis (Chinese mitten crab) is the source of this 3404-nucleotide long non-coding RNA. RefSeq lists it as uncharacterized. The transcript is spliced from 2 exons. The record is from RefSeq and is a predicted model, not a curated record. NCBI's taxonomy places the organism in Eukaryota, Metazoa, Arthropoda, Malacostraca, Decapoda, Varunidae.
AAAGAGGGGGAGAGAAAUGGAAAUGGGUGGUGAUGGGGAGGAUACUAAGGGAAGGGAAUGGGGAUGGGGGAGGAAGAGGGAGGGGAGAUAUAUUUCAAUGGGUGGAGAUGGGGAGGAUACCAAGGGAAGGGAAUGGGGGAGGAAAGGAGGGGAGAGAAAUUAAUACUUAGGGAAGGGAAUGGAGGAUGGGGGAGGGAAAGGGAGGGGAGGAAAGGAGGGGAGAGAAAGGAAUAGUAAGGGAAGGGAAUGGAGGAUGGGGGAGGGAGAGGGAGGGGAGGAGAGGAGGGGAGAGAAAGGAAGAGUAAGGGAAGGGAAUGGGGAGGGGGGAGGAAGAAGGAGGGGAAGGGAAGACCGGACAGACUGUUUAUUUUCUUAUUAUUCUCUAUAUUUAGGUUGACAACUGCAAACAAGUGUCAACCAGCCAACCAGUCAACCAGUCAGUAAUCAAUCUAAUCAACCAACUAGCUAACCAACACAUCAGUCAGCCAGUCAGUAAUCUAUUUAAUCAACCAACUAGCUAACCAACACAUCAGUCAGUCAGCCAGUCAGUCCACCAGUCCGUAAUCUACCCCUUCAGCCAGCCAGCCCAUUUAGCCCUAGACCAGCCCAGCCCCAAGUCAGCCCAUGUCAUUGUGGGUGAGGGAGUACAAUAGAUAGACUCACAUUCUCAGAUAUUUUGGACUCACACACACUUGGUAAGGCUUUCAUAGAGGUUGUGUUAGUAUGUCCAUGGGUAGUGUUACGAGCCUGGUGAUAGUUUGACAAGGCUUUGGUGGAGGUUGUUGUGUUAGUAUGUCCAUGGGUAGUGUUACGAGCCUGGUGAUAGUUUGACAAGGCUUUGGUGGAGGUUGUUGUGUUAGUAUGUCCAUGGGGAGUGUUACGAGCCUGGUGAUAGUUUGACAAGGCUUUCAUAGAGGUUGUUGUGUUAGUAUGUCCAUGGGUAGUGUUACGAGCCUAGAGAUAGCUUGACAGGGCCUCCGCUGAACCCAUGAAAAACACACUCACAAGAACUCAACUCAUCAACUUGUCAUAGCCUUUCUAAAUAAUGUCGCAGGAGUCGAAAGCAUCUGAGAACGUGGGCCUACAAAGACACACUGAUACACAGAUAUAAACCUAUAAAAAAUAUCACAGAAAUCACAAAUACUGUACUUGGUCGCGGCGGGGAUGUGGACAUAGGCGGGUGUGGGAUUACAGGUGUGGAGUGGGCUAAAAAUCAAGUUAUACAGGAGCUUUUUACAGACAUACGGAGGGCGGUUAGCGGAGGUUUCGAGAGGUUAGGAUUGCGAGGGUAAUACAAAUGAUAAAAUACGGUUGCGGUGGGUGUGUGGGGUUGCAGGUUUGGGGUUACAGGUGUGGGGUGGGCUAAAAAUCAAGGUAUACAGGAGCUUUUUACAGAUAUAGGGGUAGUUUCACCAAGUUUAGGGUCACAAGGGUAAUAUAAAUGAUAAGAUAUGGUCGUGGCAGGCGUGGAAUUACAGGUGUGGGGUGGGCUAAAAAUCAAGUUAUAUAGGAGCUUUUUACAGACAUGCAGGGGCGAUUAGCGGAGGUUUUGAGACGUUAGGGGUCGCAAGGGUAACACAAAUGAUAAUAUAUGGUCGCGGUGGGUGUGUGGGGUUGCAGGUGUGGGGUUACAGGUGUGGGGUGGGCUAAAAAUCAAGUUAUACAGGAGCUGUUUACAGACAUAGGGGGCGGUUAGGGGUAGUUCCGGCAAGUUUAAGGUCACGAGGGCAAUGUAAAUGAUAAGACAUGGUCGCGGUGGGUGUGUGGGGUUACAGGUGUGGAGUUACAGGUGUGGGGUUACAGGUGUGGGGUGGGGUAAAAAUCAAGAUAUACAGGAGCUUUUUACAGACAUACGGAGGGCGGUUAGCGGAGGUUUCGAGAGGUUAGGAUUGCGAGGGUAAUACAAAUGAUAAAAUACGGUUGCGGUGGGUGUGUGGGGUUGCAGGUUUGGGGUUACAGGUGUGGGGUUACAGGUGUGGGGUGGGCUAAAAAUCAAGGUAUACAGGAGCUUUUUACAGACAUAUGGAGGGCGGUUAGCGGUACUUCCAGCAGGGUAAGGAGCGCAAGGGUAAUACAAACAACAAUAUACAUAACAUUAGCAAACUUAAGUGGCUAUUUUUAUAUAUAUCUAUGUGUGGUUUGUAUAUAAGUAUGUAUGCACGUAUGGUAAAGAAGGAGGACUUAGAGGAUAAUGAUAAUAAGCGAUAAUUAUACAUACAUACAUUCAUACGCUUAUUUUUUUUUGUUUCGUUCUUACUCGGUAAAACUUAAAACUUACUUAUGUGAUGCUUAUAAGACGUAUUGUAAGGGUUCGUGAUUUUUCGUUUGUUUGUUUGUUUGUUAAAGUGAGCAGAGACGACACUUAGUCUCUUCUCUAAACUUACGCUAACUUAUUUUUUUUCUUUCUCUUUCUUUCUCGCUCGCUCACUCACUUUCUCUCUCUCUCUCUCUCUCUUUCUUGACAACGCUUACUUUCAUCACUUCUCUAAACUUAUGCUAACUCUCUCUCUCUCUCUUGCUCGCUCGCUCGCUCACUUUCUCUCUCGCUCCCUCUCUCUAUUUCUCAAUCGCUACGCUCUAUAUUUUAUUUCAACAAUAUAAAUCCAUUUUUUUUUUGGUAAUUAAAAUCUUAUUGUAUUUAAUAUGAUGAGGAAUUUAAAUAUUUUCCUUCGAUUCUUUUUUUAUUCUAAUACGUAAAAAAACACAAACAGUCGAACCUCUCUCUCUCUCUCUCUCUCUCUCUCUCUCUCUGAAUAUAAAAAUGAAAAAUAUAUUGUCAAGGUCGGGGAUUCUAAAAUUAGUAUGCUUCUUAAGAUUCUAAAGUGACCGGCAACAGCGAGCACUAUAGAUUGUGUGCGUGUGUGUGUGUGUGUGUGUGUGUGUUUUAGUUUCUCAUGUUAUAUUUUUCUUUAUUUUCAUUUCUUUUCCUGUCAUAUUUCUCCACUUCAUCUCUUCCCUCCACUCCUUUUUUACUCCACCUUCCACAUCACUGACCAACUCCACAUUCAUUUAACCCGGUAGCAGCGAUGGGCCAAAUUUGUGGCUUCACCGUGUACCAGUGACGGGCCAAAUUUGUGGCUUUACCGUGUACCAGUGACGGGCCAAAUUUGUGGCUUUACCGUGUACCAGUGACGGGCCAAAUUUGUGGCUACCGGGUUAAAGUUCAGAUACAAAUGAACCAAAAUAGAAAAGUAAUAAUGAGAAAGACUAAAUAAAUGCAAAUACAGCUGAAAUAAAUUGAAAAAUGUAUAAAUGCUAGAAUGAAUAAUGAUGAUAAUGAUAAUGAUAACAAUAAACUCCAGCACCAAGACAAGUUCAUAAAUGCUUGAAGGGUUAUGUGUGUGUGUGUGUGUAUGUGUGUGUGUGUGUGUGUAAUAGUGGUUAAUCAAAGUAAAAAAAACAAA